AGUCGGAAGAAAUCUUUGAUGAGUGGGUGUCCAAGCUCCGUCAUCACAGAAUGUAUCGGCAGAAUGAGAUCGCCAUGUUUCCCCAGGAUGUCAAUCACUUUUUCCCAGGGUCUGUCACAGACUCUGCCCCAGGGGUGUUUGACACAGUUUCCAGCCGGAAGCGGAGUAGUAUAUCAAAGCAGAAUUCAUUUCAAAUGGGAAGCAACUUAUCAUUUUCUUGUGGUGACACACGAGGUCCAUUCUGGCUGCAGUCUUCA
Molecule: long non-coding RNA, 257 nt
Organism: Nannospalax galili (Upper Galilee mountains blind mole rat)
Lineage: Eukaryota; Metazoa; Chordata; Mammalia; Rodentia; Spalacidae
Exons: 2
Source: RefSeq, a predicted model, not a curated record